RNAcentral lists this unclassified non-coding RNA (341 nucleotides) under soil metagenome. Its description in RNAcentral is "partial contains 5.8S ribosomal RNA, internal transcribed spacer 2, and large subunit ribosomal RNA". The stretch from base 5 to 119 matches the Rfam family "5.8S ribosomal RNA", at positions 40 to 154 of the family's 154-position model. The record is from RNAcentral.
GAUGAGAACGUAGCGAAAUGCGAUAAGUAGUGUGAAUUGCAGAAUUCAGUGAAUCAUCGAAUCUUUGAACGCACAUUGCGGCCAUAGGUAUUCCUUUGGCCAUGCCUGUUCGAGCGUCAUUUACACCCUCAAGCCUAGCUUGGUGUUGGGCGUCUGUCCCGCCGUUCUCGCGCGCGGACUCGCCUCAAAGUCAUUGGCGGCGGUCGUGCCGGCCCCCUCGCGCAGCACAUUUGCGCUUCUCGGAGGCCCGGCGGAUCCGCGCUCCAGCAAGACCUUUCACGACUUGACCUCGGAUCAGGUAGGGAUACCCGCUGAACUUAAGCAUAUCAAUAAGCGGAGGA